This 253-nucleotide ribosomal RNA is filed under the name uncultured bacterium. RNAcentral describes it as "partial 16S ribosomal RNA". It matches the Rfam family "Bacterial small subunit ribosomal RNA", at positions 524 to 776 of the family's 1533-position model. The record is from RNAcentral.
UACAGAGGGUGCGAGCGUUAAUCGGAAUUACUGGGCGUAAAGCGUGCGUAGACGGUUUCGUAAGUCGGGUGUGAAAUCCCCGGGCUCAACCUGGGAAUUGCAUUCGAAACUGCGAGGCUAGGGUACGGAAGAGGGAAGCGGAAUUUCUGGUGUAGCGGUGAAAUGCGCAGAUAUCAGGAGGAACACCAGUGGCGAAGGCGGUGCUCUGGGCCGGAACUGACGCUGAGGAGCGAAAGCGUGGGGAGCAAACAGG